UACAUUAAGUAGUGCAGCACCAAUGCGA
This 28-nucleotide small RNA is filed under the name Bombyx mori (domestic silkworm). Its description in RNAcentral is "ovarian small RNA-20450". Lineage: Eukaryota; Metazoa; Arthropoda; Insecta; Lepidoptera; Bombycidae. The record is from RNAcentral.